CCUACGGGCGACAGCAGUGAGGAAUAUUGGUCAAUGGACGAGAGUCUGAACCAGCCAAGUAGCGUGAAGGAUGACUGCCCUAUGGGUUGUAAACUUCUUUUAUAUGGGAAUAAAACAGGGUAUGCAUACCCUCUUGUAUGUACCAUAUGAAUAAGGAUCGGCUAACUCCGUGCCAGCAGCCGCGGUAAUACGGAGGAUCCGAGCGUUAUCCGGAUUUAUUGGGUUUAAAGGGAGCGUAGGUGGAUUGUUAAGUCAGUUGUGAAAGUUUGCGGCUCAACCGUAAAAUUGCAGUUGAAACUGGCAGUCUUGAGUACAGUAGAGGUAGGCGGAAUUCGUGGUGUAGCGGUGAAAUGCUUAGAUAUCACGAAGAACUCCGAUUGCGAAGGCAGCUUACUGGACUGCAACUGACACUGAUGCUCGAAAGUGUGGGUAUCAAACAGGAUUAGAUACCCGAGUAGUC
This 460-nucleotide ribosomal RNA is filed under the name uncultured bacterium. RNAcentral describes it as "partial 16S ribosomal RNA". It matches the Rfam family "Bacterial small subunit ribosomal RNA", at positions 338 to 795 of the family's 1533-position model. The record is from RNAcentral.